AACUAAUGCUGGUGGUAUGCUUAACACAUGCAAGUCGAACGAACUUUAUUGAGCUUGCUCUUUAAAGUUAGUGGCAAACGGGUGAGUAAUGUAUAAGAAUCUACCUAGCAGUAAGGAAUAACUUCGGGAAACUGAAGCUAAUACCAUAUAUUACCGUUUAUUCGGGAAAGAUUUAUCGCUGUUAGAUGAGCUUAUAUCAGAUUAGCUAGUUGGUAGGGUAAUGGCCUACCAAGGCAAUGAUCUGUAGCUGGUCUGAGAGGAUGACCAGUCACACUGGGACUGCGACACGGCCCAGACUCCUACGGGAGGCAGCAGUGGGGAAUAUUGGACAAUGGGCGCAAGCCUGAUCCAGCAAUACCACGUGAAUGAUGAAGGCCUUAGGGUUGUAAAAUUCUUUUAGUAGGGAAGAUAAUGACGGUACCUACAGAAAAAGCACCGGCUAACUUCG
Molecule: ribosomal RNA, 448 nt
Filed under: uncultured Rickettsiales bacterium
Lineage: Bacteria; Pseudomonadati; Pseudomonadota; Alphaproteobacteria; Rickettsiales
Description: bacterial SSU rRNA
Rfam family: Bacterial small subunit ribosomal RNA
Source: RNAcentral